RNAcentral lists this ribosomal RNA (402 nucleotides) under uncultured bacterium. RNAcentral describes it as "bacterial SSU rRNA". It matches the Rfam family "Bacterial small subunit ribosomal RNA", at positions 29 to 417 of the family's 1533-position model. The record is from RNAcentral.
AAUCAACGCUGGCGGCGUGCCUAACACAUGCAAGUCGAGCGCGAAAGGGGAGCAAUCCCCAAGUAGAGCGGCGAACGGGUGAGUAACGCGUGGGUAAUCUGCCUCCGAGUGGGGAACAACAUCGGGAAACUGGUGCUAAUACCGCAUAACAUCGUCGGGUUUUCGGAUCUGACGAUCAAAGCCGGGGACCGCAAGGCCUGGCGCUUGGAGAGGAGCCCGCGUCCGAUUAGCAGUUGGUGGGGUAAUGGCCCACCAAGGCUUCGAUCGGUAGCCGGCCUGAGAGGGCGGACGGCCACACUGGGACUGAGACACGGCCCAGACUCCUACGGGAGGCAGCAGUGGGGAAUUUUUCGCAAUGGGCGAAAGCCUGACGAAGCAACGCCGCGUGGAGGAUGAAGGCCU